UUCCGAUCUCUUUGAUCUGGGAGGGUGAAAUUGUUCGCCCUCCCGGUCAUCUAACCCUAGCUUUUAUACCAUGCCCUUCAGUGCACUUCGUCUGUCGUUUUCUCAGGCCUGCUUUCGACAGACAUGAACGGGAAGUACCCAAAAAUAAAAAGCAGGCCCUGCGAGAUAUGGAAUAUGUCGGGCCACCACGUCAGUACAUCGACCAGUGACGGUCAGUGUACAGGGUGGCUCAACAACUC
This 239-nucleotide non-coding RNA is filed under the name Arenicola marina (lugworm). Lineage: Eukaryota; Metazoa; Annelida; Polychaeta; Arenicolidae. The record is from RNAcentral.